Molecule: non-coding RNA, 73 nt
Organism: Potamilus streckersoni
Lineage: Eukaryota; Metazoa; Mollusca; Bivalvia; Unionida; Unionidae
Source: the annotation of a GenBank genome assembly
GCUCCGGUCGCCUAGUGGUUAGAGCGUCCGCCUCAGAUGCGGGUGGUCGAAGGUUUAAACCCCGGCCGAGGCA